This 326-nucleotide ribosomal RNA is filed under the name uncultured eukaryote. RNAcentral describes it as "partial 18S ribosomal RNA". It matches the Rfam family "Eukaryotic small subunit ribosomal RNA", at positions 1470 to 1796 of the family's 1831-position model. The record is from RNAcentral.
CCCUUAGAUGUUCUGGGCCGCACGCGCGCUACACUGAUGCAUUCAACGAGUUUUUCCUUGGCCGAGAGGCCUGGGCAAUCUUUUAAACGUGCAUCGUGAUAGGGAUAGAUUAUUGCAAUUAUUAAUCUUGAACGAGGAAUUCCUAGUAAACGCAGAUCAUCAAUCUGCAUUGAUUACGUCCCUGCCCUUUGUACACACCGCCCGUCGCUCCUACCGAUUGGGUGUGCUGGUGAAAUGUUCGGAUCGGCCGUUUGUCGCGGUUUCCGCGUCAUGUGGCUGAGAAGUUCAUUAAACCCUCCCACCUAGAGGAAGGAGAAGUCGUAACA